UCGAUUUGGAGUUUGUUGCCUAGAGUGAUGGGCUCCGAAGCUAACGCGAUAAAUCGACCGCCUGGGGAGUACGGCCGCAAGGUUAAAACUCAAAUGAAUUGACGGGGGCCCGCACAAGCGGUGGAGCAUGUGGUUUAAUUCGAUGCAACGCGAAGAACCUUACCUGGUCUUGACAUCCACAGAAUCUUGCAGAGAUGUGAGAGUGCCUUCGGGAACUGUGAGACAGGUGCUGCAUGGCUGUCGUCAGCUCGUGUUGUGAAAUGUUGGGUUAAGUCCCGCAACGAGCGCAACCCUUAUCCUUUGUUGCCAUCGGUUCGGCCGGGAACUCAAAGGAGACUGCCGUUGAUAAAGCGGAGGAAGGUGGGGACGACGUCAAGUCAUCAUGGCCCUUACGACCAGGGCUACACACGUGCUACAAUGGCGUAUACAAAGGGAGGCGACCUCGCGAGAGCAAGCGGACCUCAUAAAGUACGUCUAAGUCCGGAUUGGAGUCUGCAACUCGACUCCAUGAAGUCGGAAUCGCUAGUAAUCGUGAAUCA
RNAcentral lists this ribosomal RNA (539 nucleotides) under uncultured Gammaproteobacteria bacterium. Its description in RNAcentral is "bacterial SSU rRNA". It matches the Rfam family "Bacterial small subunit ribosomal RNA", at positions 812 to 1351 of the family's 1533-position model. Lineage: Bacteria; Pseudomonadati; Pseudomonadota; Gammaproteobacteria. The record is from RNAcentral.